UAACCUUAUGUUAGGUGAGUGACUCAUCUGCCUGCGUCACUCCCAUCAGUUGGGUACCGGAGUUAAAGCGUGUCGCGCUAAACACUGCCGGAUGAUGCCUAAUACUGAGCAGGACAGUAUGAGUGAUGGUGAGUUCUACAUGUAUGUGCUGCUGCAUUAAGGAAGCAGAGGGAGGUCAGAGUGCCAGUCAGCAGCCAGGGGGAAGACAGGAGGACGGUGAGCAUUCAACAUCAUGGGUGACGGGACGGAAAGCCAAGGAGAGUCAACCCAAACCUCUGUGUUCAGUUCUUUAAGCCUUUCCUCCACAUCUCGUCCUCUGCGUGCAUCGAGUGAUCUCUGAACCCCGCGCUUCCACGGCAACUCCCCUGUUGCCUUGUUUACAUGUUGUUGCCGCCGCCGUGUUCGCAGUGCGUUGAUCAUUAACAUCAUUAUAUGUCUAUGAUACUGCAUGUCGAGUCACAAAUCAACUUCCCUUCCAUCCUCUCCGUUGGUCUAAUGA
Acanthopagrus latus (yellowfin seabream) is the source of this 499-nucleotide long non-coding RNA. RefSeq lists it as uncharacterized. The transcript is spliced from 3 exons. The record is from RefSeq and is a predicted model, not a curated record. NCBI's taxonomy places the organism in Eukaryota, Metazoa, Chordata, Actinopteri, Spariformes, Sparidae.